UUGUGUAUCUUGCAAAGAAGAGAUUGCUAUCAAGAACUGAUCACGAAGGUGGUUUUCCCAGGGUGAGGCUAAUUCCAUUGCACUCCAGAUGUGUUGACCCCUGCGAUUUCCCCAAAUUUGGGAAACACAACUGCAUAAUUAGUGGUAGUGGGGAAUGGCAUUUGCUCUCUCCCCU
Molecule: small nuclear RNA, 175 nt
Filed under: Jaculus jaculus (lesser Egyptian jerboa)
Lineage: Eukaryota; Metazoa; Chordata; Mammalia; Rodentia; Dipodidae
Description: U1 spliceosomal RNA (ENSJJAG00000004891.1)
Rfam family: U1 spliceosomal RNA
About the family: U1 is a small nuclear RNA (snRNA) component of the spliceosome (involved in pre-mRNA splicing). Its 5' end forms complementary base pairs with the 5' splice junction, thus defining the 5' donor site of an intron.
Source: RNAcentral